UUUGAAGAUGGAGCCAAUGUCCCUGGUCUGCCCCUGCCUCGGCCUCCCCCACCACCUCUGGCAUCCAUACCUGCGGUGGGUGCUGUAACGGCAUCUGGGCUUUGUCAUCUCCUUUGCAGAACAUCGUAGCUGUGGGAGCUGGGUUCUGCGACGGCCUCCGCUGUGGAGACAACACCAAAGCGGCCGUCAUCCGCCUGGGACUCAUGGAAAUGAUUGCUUUUGCCAGGAUCUUCUGCAAAGGCCAAGUGUCUACAGCCACCUUCCUAGAGAGCUGCGGGGUGGCCGACCUGAUCACCACCUGUUACGGAGGGCGGAACCGCAGGGUGGCCGAGGCCUUCGCCAGAACUGGGAAGACCAUUGAAGAGUUGGAGAAGGAGAUGCUGAAUGGGCAAAAGCUCCAAGGACCGCAGACUUCUGCUGAAGUGUACCGCAUCCUCAAACAGAAGGGACUACUGGACAAGUUUCCAUUGUUUACUGCAGUGUAUCAGAUCUGCUACGAAAGCAGACCAGUUCAAGAGAUGUUGUCUUGUCUUCA
This 535-nucleotide small RNA is filed under the name Pan troglodytes (chimpanzee). RNAcentral's name for it is "retained intron". Lineage: Eukaryota; Metazoa; Chordata; Mammalia; Primates; Hominidae. The record is from RNAcentral.